This 373-nucleotide ribosomal RNA is filed under the name uncultured organism. RNAcentral's name for it is "partial 16S ribosomal RNA". It matches the Rfam family "Bacterial small subunit ribosomal RNA", at positions 527 to 896 of the family's 1533-position model. The record is from RNAcentral.
GUAGGUGGCAAGCGUUGUCCGGAAUUAUUGGGCGUAAAGCGCGCGCAGGCGGUCCUUUAAGUCUGAUGUGAAAGCCCACGGGCUCAACCGUGGAGGGUCAUUGGAAACUGGGGGACUUGAGUACAGAAGAGGAAAGCGGAAUUCCAAGUGUAGCGGUGAAAUGCGUAGAGAUUUGGAGGAACACCAGUGGCGAAGGCGGCUUUCUGGUCUGUAACUGACGCUGAGGCGCGAAAGCGUGGGGAGCAAACAGGAUUAGAUACCCUGGUAGUCCACGCCGUAAACGAUGAGUGCUAAGUGUUAGGGGGUUUCCGCCCCUUAGUGCUGCAGCUAGCGCAUUAAGCACUCCGCCUGGGGAGUACGGCCGCAAAGGCUG